GCCCGGGUGGCGGAAUUGGCAGACGCGCAAGGUUCAGGUCCUUGUUCCCUUUACCGGGAGUGGGGGUUCGACCCCCCCCUCGGGCACCA
This 89-nucleotide transfer RNA is filed under the name Planctomycetota bacterium. Its description in RNAcentral is "tRNA-Leu". It matches the Rfam family "tRNA". Rfam says of the family: Transfer RNA (tRNA) molecules are approximately 80 nucleotides in length. The record is from RNAcentral. Lineage: Bacteria; Pseudomonadati; Planctomycetota.